This 497-nucleotide ribosomal RNA is filed under the name uncultured bacterium. RNAcentral describes it as "partial 16S ribosomal RNA". It matches the Rfam family "Bacterial small subunit ribosomal RNA", at positions 28 to 507 of the family's 1533-position model. The record is from RNAcentral.
GACGAACGCUGGCGGCGUGCCUAAUACAUGCAAGUAGAACGCUGAAGCUUGGUGCUUGCACCGAGCGGAUGAGUUGCGAACGGGUGAGUAACGCGUAGGUAACCUGCCUGGUAGCGGGGGAUAACUAUUGGAAACGAUAGCUAAUACCGCAUAACAGUAGAUAUCGCAUGAUAGCUACUUGAAAGGUGCAAAUGCACCACUACCAGAUGGACCUGCGUUGUAUUAGCUAGUUGGUGAGGUAACGGCUCACCAAGGCAACGAUACAUAGCCGACCUGAGAGGGUGAUCGGCCACACUGGGACUGAGACACGGCCCAGACUCCUACGGGAGGCAGCAGUAGGGAAUCCUCGGCAAUGGACGGAAGUCUGACCGAGCAACGCCGCGUGAGUGAAGAAGGGUUUCGGAUCGUAAAGCUCUGUUGUAAGAGAAGAACGAGUGUGAGAGUGGAAAGUUCACACUGUGACGGUAUCUUACCAGAAAGGGACGGCUAACUACGUG